Oryza sativa Japonica Group (Japanese rice) is the source of this 1211-nucleotide non-coding RNA. NCBI's taxonomy places the organism in Eukaryota, Viridiplantae, Streptophyta, Magnoliopsida, Poales, Poaceae. The record is from RefSeq and is a predicted model, not a curated record.
AUACAUUCUAAUUGAGCCCACUCCCGACCUCUGCAAGAAAUGCACACAGCCACAAAACAUGACCUAUCUAGACCCCCAUUGCCUUCUUCAUGCUCUUAAUUUCUGUAACAUACUGUUCACCUGUCUGGCUAUCUGGGAUUUUUCAAGGUGUACACCUACGGUCAUUUUGAUGGAAGGUGAAGGGGAAUUACCUCAACUGAACAGAGGAUGCUGGUUAUACAGAACUACUAACAUCGUAAGAACAUUCUAUGAUUCUGAUGCAGACAUACAGUACAGUUUUAAUCUAAUCAAGGAGGACGCCAUAUGUGGGACACCGCAGCGAAGUGUAAGGAGUCCUAGAACAUCUACCUUAGGAGUUAAGAGAAUCUAUGAGAUUGUAUGUAUAAACAUCAGGUAGCUUGGCAAAAUGGCAGGUCAGACGGAUCAAGCUGCUCCCAGGUAUUGUGUUCUAUAUAUCAUUUUCUUCUUGUGAUAAUGUUGUAUUGAAAUGCUCCAUCAAGGAGCGCCUUUAUAAUUCCUACGUGUAGGUUAAUCUUAUGCAGUAUUAUUGAUUCUAUUGUGUCCCAAAAAAUACUAUCUAUUCAACUUGCUGGUUCUACCGUAUCUUUGUGGGGACAUAGUGAAAUGGUUGUGAUCUGCUCCGGAAGGUAGGAAUUCCUUCCAAAGUAUUUAUAAAUGACUAGGAAUAAUUAUUUGAAAAACUUCUAUUUCAGUAGAAAGCACACGAUAAAGCAAGAUUCCAUUCACAUGAGCAUGACAAAAAUUAGCAUGAAUCUUACCUGAUUGAUUUGCAGUUUCUUUGUACACCAUGUUGAAGCCGUUGGCUUCAGCUACUGUUUCGACUAGAGAUUGUCCUUAGCUGCUGAACAGUAACAUUAGUGUAAAUCAGCUUACAACUUAGCACGGGGGACUGCCUUGCUAGUAGUUUCCAUUAGGUUAUAUACUUAGAUGUCGUACUUGGAUUAGUACAGUCAUUAAGUGCUUAAGUGCGUGUAAAGUAUGCGCCCUCUAAUGCUCGAUUACUUGGCUAACUUUUCUGGCUCGACGCGUGUAAAGACAGUAUCGUAUGAUUCGGAUCCAACCUUGAGGCUCAGAUCAAUGACAGAUCGGCACCGGUGUACCAAUCUGAAUCUGUGUUGUGGUGGAUGAUCAAACGAUCGAGUAUAAAUAUUCCGUUAUCUAAUGUGAUAGCUCUGCUUUCAUUCGCUACA